Molecule: non-coding RNA, 45 nt
Filed under: Schistosoma margrebowiei
Lineage: Eukaryota; Metazoa; Platyhelminthes; Trematoda; Strigeidida; Schistosomatidae
Source: RNAcentral
GUCCAGCUGACGGGUCCCAAACGGGAUGAAACACGUGUUCUGGAU